UGGGGAAUAUUGCGCAAUGGGGGGAACCCUGACGCAGCCAUGCCGCGUGAAUGAAGAAGGCCUUCGGGUUGUAAAGUUCUUUCGGUAUUGAGGAAGGUUGAUGUGUUAAUAGCACAUCAAAUUGACGUUAAAUACAGAAGAAGCACCGGCUAACUCCGUGCCAGCAGCCGCGGUAAUACGGAGGGUGCGAGCGUUAAUCGGAAUAACUGGGCGUAAAGGGCACGCAGGCGGUUAUUUAAGUGAGGUGUGAAAGCCCUGGGCUUAACCUAGGAAUUGCAUUUCAGACUGGGUAACUAGAGUACUUUAGGGAGGGGUAGAAUUCCACGUGUAGCGGUGAAAUGCGUAGAGAUGUGGAGGAAUACCGAAGGCGAAGGCAGCCCCUUGGGAAUGUACUGACGCUCAUGUGCGAAAGCGUGGGGAGCAGACAGGAUUAGAUACCCUGGUAGUCCACGCUGUAAACGCUGUCGAUUUGGGGAUUGGGCUUAGAGCUUGGUGCCCGUAGCUAACGUGAUAAAUCGACCGCCUGGGGAGUACGGCCGCAAGGUUA
Molecule: ribosomal RNA, 547 nt
Filed under: uncultured bacterium
Lineage: Bacteria
Description: bacterial SSU rRNA
Rfam family: Bacterial small subunit ribosomal RNA
Source: RNAcentral